Molecule: non-coding RNA, 45 nt
Organism: Mesitornis unicolor (brown roatelo)
Lineage: Eukaryota; Metazoa; Chordata; Aves; Mesitornithiformes; Mesitornithidae
Source: Rfam
AAAGGCUCUUUUCAGAGCCACCCACAAAAUCGUAAAGAGUUGCGU